AAUUCAAAUUUAUCAAAUCUAAAUUUGAAGCGGAGGAACCAAAAUAUGGGGCUAAUCUUAAUGAGAGACACCUUCCAGUCUUAGCCCGUCAGCUAACUCCGUCGGCAAUGGAAGGAACC
This 119-nucleotide small RNA is filed under the name Cylindrospermum stagnale PCC 7417. RNAcentral's name for it is "c-di-AMP riboswitch aptamer (ydaO/yuaA leader)". It matches the Rfam family "c-di-AMP riboswitch aptamer (ydaO/yuaA leader)". Rfam says of the family: This family represents a conserved RNA structure found upstream of the ydaO and yuaA genes in Bacillus subtilis and related genes in other bacteria. The ydaO/yuaA element is thought to act as a genetic "off" switch for the ydaO and yuaA genes in its native state. The record is from Rfam by way of RNAcentral. Lineage: Bacteria; Bacillati; Cyanobacteriota; Cyanophyceae; Nostocales; Nostocaceae. RNAcentral also lists the same sequence under 1 other name.